RNAcentral lists this long non-coding RNA (252 nucleotides) under Elaeis guineensis (African oil palm). RNAcentral describes it as "long non-coding RNA (EGUI_LNC031391)". The record is from RNAcentral. Lineage: Eukaryota; Viridiplantae; Streptophyta; Magnoliopsida; Arecales; Arecaceae.
UAGUACCCCUCUUGGCCUGAAGAUCUACUUCUAUCCUAGCUAUCGCUAGGUCCAUCACCUCAGCAGGAGAGGGGCAUUCCCCAUCCCCCUGGAUGACCCAUCUUAGACGGAUAACAGCACCCUCAAGACUACUGUCCUGGCCUCCCACCACCACAUCCAUCUGCAUAGAGUCCUCCCCUUUGAGAGGCAUUAGGUCAUGCUUCCUCAAAGGCUCCAUCACCCGCUCAGAAUGCCCCUCCUCGAUUGGGCCCC